GCGUUGUCCGGAAUCAUUGGGCGUAAAGAGCGUGUAGGCGGCCCGAUAAGUCUGCCGUGAAAGUCCAGGGCUCAACCCUGGAAUGCCGGUGGAUACUGUCGGGCUAGAGUCCGGAAGGGGCGAGUGGAAUUCCUGGUGUAGCGGUGAAAUGCGCAGAUAUCAGGAGGAACACCAAUGGCGAAGGCAGCUCGCUGGGACGGUACUGACGCUGAGACGCGAAAGCGUG
This 226-nucleotide ribosomal RNA is filed under the name uncultured bacterium. RNAcentral's name for it is "partial 16S ribosomal RNA". It matches the Rfam family "Bacterial small subunit ribosomal RNA", at positions 538 to 763 of the family's 1533-position model. The record is from RNAcentral.